GAUGAACGCUGGCGGCGUGCCUAAUACAUGCAAGUCGAGCGAACAGACGAGGAUCUUGCUCCUCUGACGUUAGCGGCGGACGGGUGAGUAACACGUGGAUAACCGACCUAUAAGACUGGGAUAACUUCGGGAAACCUGAUCUAAUAUCGGAUAAUAUAUUGAACCUCAUGGUUCAAUAGUGAAAGACGGUUUUGCUGUCACUUAUAGAUGGAUCCGCGCCGCAUUAGCUAGUUGGUAAGGUAACGGCCUACCAAGGCAACGAUGCGUAGCCGACCUGAGAGGGUGAUCGGCCACACUGGAACUGAGACACGGUCCAGACUCCUACGGGAGGCAGCAGUAGGGAAUCUUCCGCAAUGGGCGAAAGCUUGACGGAGCAAUGCCGCGUGAGUGAUGAAGGUCUUCGGAUCGUAAAACUCUGUUAGUAGGGAAGAACAAAUGUGUAAGUAACUAUGCACGUCUUGACGGUACCUAAUCAGAAAGCCACGGCUAACUACGUG
RNAcentral lists this ribosomal RNA (497 nucleotides) under uncultured bacterium. RNAcentral describes it as "partial 16S ribosomal RNA". It matches the Rfam family "Bacterial small subunit ribosomal RNA", at positions 28 to 507 of the family's 1533-position model. The record is from RNAcentral.